This is a long non-coding RNA of Patella vulgata (common limpet), 959 nucleotides long. RefSeq lists it as uncharacterized. NCBI's taxonomy places the organism in Eukaryota, Metazoa, Mollusca, Gastropoda, Patellidae. The transcript is spliced from 4 exons. The record is from RefSeq and is a predicted model, not a curated record.
UGAUUUUAUCAGCCUAUGAUAAAGCUGGAAAUUAUAAGAAGGCUAGACGAUUGGUUAUAUUUGAUGAUACAUCUGCUGUAACAACGACGUCCGGGAGUGUGCUUAGAGUGACUACUGCUCUUUCUACUACCAAUUACAAAUGGCAGACUAAUUUAAAUUCUGUUACAAUCAGUUGGACUAAUAGAUAUAUCAACACUAUACAUCAUAAUGGUCGUUUUCUAGCAGCAGUUAGAUCAGAACCUGGUGUAGAGUCUCAAUAUGAUGAUAAUUAUGGGUCUAGAACAACUCAGGCAAUUAGCAAUGUACAAGGAAUUGUUGGUAUUAAAACCAUAUAUAAAGUGGACCACGCUGGAGGAAGUUCGAUUAACCAGCCUUCUCAAAAUGAAUUCGUAGAUCUAGGACUUGAUCAACAAGAGACAAUAACACCAGUUCUGAAAGAUGGCGAUACUUUACGAUAUUUUAUCAGAGCUUACGAUAUUUUAUCUCAAUACAAGGAAGAAUCGUUGACCGUCCAUUUUGAUAGUUCACCACCUGUUAUUGAAAAUCUAUGGUUAACAAAAGGUGAUGAGGUUAAUCUAGCAGUUCAUGGUUUUGAGGAACUUGAUAAAAUGGUCAUAGAAUGGGUAGCCUAUGAUGAUCAUAGUGGAAUAGAAACAGUACAAUGGAAGUUAUUGGAUCAUUUAACGGAAGUAGAACAUGGAUCUCAGCGUAUUCCACCACAAGGCGAAACAACGAACCUUGCAGAAUGCCAAAGUAAAUAUUCUAAUAAUGCCAGAGGAGCCAAUUGUUAUUGCAUUCCUACUAGCACAUGUUAUCAUCGCCAUUUUCAAAUAAAACCACCUAAGACUGCUACACCCGGAGAAGGCAUCUUAAACAAUAAAAAUACUGGUACGCAUGAUCAUGAUUAUCGUAUCGUGGUUACUGUGAUGAACCAAGCUAAAUUAAAAACAACUCUAACU